UUGGUUGCUCAGUGGUUAGAGUGUUGGUCUGUGACUAAAAGGUCCUGGGUUUGAUUCCCAGUCAA
Myotis davidii is the source of this 65-nucleotide non-coding RNA. Lineage: Eukaryota; Metazoa; Chordata; Mammalia; Chiroptera; Vespertilionidae. The record is from Rfam.